This 420-nucleotide ribosomal RNA is filed under the name Fusobacteriota bacterium. RNAcentral describes it as "Fusobacteria bacterium partial 16S ribosomal RNA". It matches the Rfam family "Bacterial small subunit ribosomal RNA", at positions 355 to 776 of the family's 1533-position model. Lineage: Bacteria; Fusobacteriati; Fusobacteriota. The record is from RNAcentral.
UGGGGGAUAUUGCACAAUGGGCGAAAGCCUGAUGCAGCGACGCCGCGUGGGGGAUGAAGGCCUUCGGGUUGUAAACUUCUUUUGCUCUGAACAAGGCAUGCCUUUGGGGUGUGUUGAGUGUAGGGGUUGAUUAGCGCCGGCUAACUACGUGCCAGCAGCCGCGGUAAUACGUAGGGCGCGAGCGUUGUCCGGAAUUAUUGGGCGUAAAGGGCUUGUAGGUGGCUAGUUGCGUCUGUCGUGAAAGCUCAUGGCUUAACUGUGGGUUUGCGGUGGGUACGGGCUGGCUUGAGUGCAGUAGGGGAGGCUGGAAUUCCUGGUGUAGCGGUGGAAUGCGCAGAUAUCAGGAGGAAUACCGGUGGCGAAGGCGGGUCUCUGGGCUGUUACUGACGCUGAGGAGCGAAAGCGUGGGGAGCGAACAGG